RNAcentral lists this ribosomal RNA (242 nucleotides) under uncultured bacterium. RNAcentral's name for it is "partial 16S ribosomal RNA". It matches the Rfam family "Bacterial small subunit ribosomal RNA", at positions 524 to 765 of the family's 1533-position model. The record is from RNAcentral.
UACGUAGGGUGCAAGCGUUAAUCGGAAUUACUGGGCGUAAAGCGUGCGCAGGCGGUUAUGUAAGACAGAUGUGAAAUGCCCGGCUUAACCUGGGAACUGCAUUUGUGACUGCAUGGCUAGAGUUUGGCAGAGGGGGGUAGAAUUCCACGUGUAGCAGUGAAAUGCGUAGAUAUGUGGAGGAACACCGAUGGCGAAGGCAGCCCCCUGGGUCAAGACUGUACGCUCAUGCACGAAAGCGUGGG